This 539-nucleotide long non-coding RNA is filed under the name Equus caballus (horse). Its description in RNAcentral is "lncRNA (ENSECAG00000051678.1)". Lineage: Eukaryota; Metazoa; Chordata; Mammalia; Perissodactyla; Equidae. The record is from RNAcentral.
CUAAAGUGUAAAGAUAGCGUCAUGUUCUAAAGAGACUUUUCUGAUAGACUAUUGGUACAUUUCAGUAGGCUAAGAAUUCAGAAGAUUGGUGCCACAGAUGUCAGAGACUGACACCAGUUGAUGGAAAAGAACAUGGCACCCUUGUGUUCUAAUAAGUGGUUAACUUGUGCUUCAGUACUGACAAGCUACAAAUGACUGUGCUGGGAACCGAGGACAAAAAGACCGAGAGCAGACGAGUUGGCUCCAGCAGACCGAAGAAGUCUUCAGCUGUCUGUGAUUCCCUAACAAAUCUGUUUACCUUUUAACAUCUUCCUUCUUCCUAGUGGUCACCUACUUGUGAUGAAACGAGCCUUGGAAGAAUCAUCAUGUCUUAAGGUCAUGUGAGGCAACAUCUUGAUUGGAAAAGCCUUCCAUAAGUGCAUCUGCUAUUGCAUUCACAAAAUAUUCCAACCCAAAUCUGUCACGGCAAUAUCUGGAUUUUCCCCAGAGCUUCCCAGACCACCAGAGCUCAGCUCAGCAACUCCAGAAUUAAAUCAUUA